UCGUAGGCGGUUUGUCGCGUCUGCUGUGAAAACCCGAGGCUCAACCUCGGGCCUGCAGUGGGUACGGGCAAACUAGAGUGUGGUAGGGGAGACUGGAAUUCCUGGUGUAGCGGUGGAAUGCGCAGAUAUCAGGAGGAACACCAAUGGCGAAGGCAGGUCUCUGGGCCACAACUGACGCUGAGGAGCGAAAGCGUGGGGAGCGAACAGGAUUAGAUACCCUGGUAGUCCACGCCGUAAACGGUGGGCACUAGAUGUGGGGACCAUUCCAUGGUUUCCGCGUCGCAGCUAACGCAUUAAGUGCCCCGCCUGGGGAGUACGGCCGCAAGGCUAAAACUCAAAGGAAUUGACGGGGGCCCGCACAAGCGGCGGAGCAUGCGGAUUAAUUCGAUGCAACGCGAAGAACCUUACCAAGGCUUGACAUAUGCCGUUUAUCCCUAGAGAUAGGGAGUCCUUCGGGGCGGUAUACAGGUGGUGCAUGGUUGUCGUCAGCUCGUGUCGUGAGAUGUUGGGUUAAGUCCCGCAACGAGCGCAACCCUCGUUCUAUGUUGCCAGCGCGUAAUGGCGGGGACUCAUAGGAGACUGCCGGGGUCAACUCGGAGGAAGGUGGGGAUGAGGUCAAAUCAUCAUGCCCCUUAUGUCUUGGGCUUCACGCAUGCUACAAUGGCCGGUACAAAGGGCUGCAAUACCGUAAGGUGGAGCGAAUCCCAAAAAGCCGGUCUCAGUUCGGAUUGAGGUCUGCAACUCGACCUCAUGAAGUCGGAGUCGCUAGUAAUCGCAGAUCAGCAACGCUGCGGUGAAUACGUUCCCGGGCCUUGUACACACCGCCCGUCAAGUCACGAAAGUUGGUAACACCCGAAGCCGGUGGCCUAACCUUUUAGGAGGGAGCCGUCUAAGGUGGGAUUAGCGAUUGGGACUAAGUCGUAACAAGGUAACC
Molecule: ribosomal RNA, 934 nt
Filed under: uncultured Actinomycetes bacterium
Lineage: Bacteria; Bacillati; Actinomycetota; Actinomycetes
Description: bacterial SSU rRNA
Rfam family: Bacterial small subunit ribosomal RNA
Source: RNAcentral